Molecule: ribosomal RNA, 484 nt
Filed under: uncultured bacterium
Lineage: Bacteria
Description: partial 16S ribosomal RNA
Rfam family: Bacterial small subunit ribosomal RNA
Source: RNAcentral
AUUGAACGCUGGCGGCAGGCCUAACACAUGCAAGUCGAGCGGAUGAAGGGAGCUUGCUCCUGGAUUCAGCGGCGGACGGGUGAGUAAUUCCUAGGAAUCUGCCUGGUAGUGGGGGAUAACGUCCGGAAACGGGCGCUAAUACCGCAUACGUCCUGAGGGAGAAAGGGAGGGAUCUUCAGACCUCACGCUAUCAGAUGAGCCUAGGUCGGAUUAGCUAGUUGGUGGGGUAAAGGCCUACCAAGGCGACGAUCCGUAACUGGUCUGAGAGGAUGAUCAGUCACACUGGAACUGAGACACGGUCCAGACUCCUACGGGAGGCAGCAGUGGGGAAUAUUGGACAAUGGGCGAAAGCCUGAUCCAGCCAUGCCGCGUGUGUGAAGAAGGUCUUCGGAUUGUAAAGCACUUUAAGUUGGGAGGAAGGGCAGUAAGUUAAUACCUUGCUGUUUUGACGUUACCAACAGAAUAAGCACCGGCUAACUUCGUG